ACCUUUUUUUUCCUCUUCUUUUUAAGGGAAAAUCCCUCAAAUCCCCAUUUUUUUCCCAGGGAAAAUUCCCGAAGCUCCUUCCCCUCCCAUUUUUUGGGGGAAUCCUCCCUAAAUCCUCAUUUCCCGCCCGGAUUUUUUGGGGAUAAAUCCCCGGAAUUCGCUUUUCCUGCUCUUUUUUCUCCUCCCAAAUCCUCGUUUUUCCCUCCCCUCCCCCCCCAUGGAUCCUCUCUCCGCCUGAACCCCUCCCCCAUUCCCAAUUUUCCCCACUUUUCCCCAUUUUUCCCCACUUUUCCCCACUUUUUUCCCAAUUUUUCCCACUUUUUCCCCCAUUUUUUCCCACUUUUUCCCCAUUUUUCCCCACUUUUUCCCCACUUUUCCCCAUUUUUCCCACUUUUUCCCACUUUUUCCCACUUUUUCCCACUUUUUCCCACUUUUCCCCACUUUUUUCCCACUUUUUCCCACUUUUUCCCACUUUUUCCCACUUUUUCCCCACUUUUUCCCCACUUUUUCCCCACUUUUCCCCAUUUUUCCCCACUUUUCCCCAUUUUCUCCAACUUUUUCCCACUUUUUCCCACUUUUUUCCCCACUUUUUCCCCACUUUUUCCCACUUUAUCCCCACUUUUUGCCACUUUUCCCCAUUUUUCCCACUUUUUCCCACUUUUUCCCCACUUUUUCCCACUUUUCCCCACUUUUUUCCCAUUUUUUCCCAUUUUUUCCCCACUUUUCCCAUUUUUCCCCAUUUUUUCCCACUUUUUCCCCAUUUUCCCCACUUUUCCCCAUUUUUCCCCAUUUUCCCCACUUUUCCCCACUUUUCCCUGCGGAUCCCUGUGGAUCUCCGCCCUCCCAGGGUCCCUUUGCCCCGGGAUCCUUUGGGAUCCCUGGGGAUCUCCGCUCUCCCUGCGGAUCCCUGAAUUCCAGGGGGAUCCCCGGGGUUUUCCGGGGGGUUUCCCUUCCCCUCCCGCCUCGGGAUCCCCUCGGGAUUGGCCGGAGCCUGCUGGGAUCCUCUGGGAUCCUCUGGGAUCCUCUGGGAUCCUUUGGGAUCUCUGCUCUUCCCCAUCUCCAGGGGGGCUCCGUCCUUCCCCUCGGGCUCCCCGGGAUCGGUCGGGAUCCCCGGGAUCUGUUGGGAUCCCCAGGUUUGUGCAGGCUCCCCAGGCUCGGUUGGGAUCCCCAGGAUCUCCUGGGAUCCCUCAGUCUCCCCAGUCAGGAUCCCCAGGGUCUCCCCAGGAUCCCUGGGAUCCCCAGACUCCUUCAGGCUCAUUCAGGAUCCCCGGGAUCUUUGAGUGUCCCCAGUCAGGAUCUCCCCAGGAUCCCCAGUCUCGUUCAGGCUCAUUCAGGAUCUCCCCAGUCCCUCCCAGUCCCUCCCCGUCUCUCCCAGUCCCUGUCCCCAGUCCCUCCCAGUCCCUCCCAGU
RNAcentral lists this long non-coding RNA (1409 nucleotides) under Cyanistes caeruleus (blue tit). RNAcentral's name for it is "lncRNA (ENSCCEG00000004128.1)". Lineage: Eukaryota; Metazoa; Chordata; Aves; Passeriformes; Paridae. The record is from RNAcentral.